GACGUAGGGGGCGAGCGUUGUCCGGAUUUAUUGGGCGUAAAGCGUGCGCAGGCGGCUUUGCAAGACAGAUGUGAAAUCCCCGGGCUUAACCUGGGAACUGCAUUUGUGACUGCAUGGCUGGAGUGCGGCAGAGGGGGAUGGAAUUCCGCGUGUAGCAGUGAAAUGCGUAGAUAUGCGGAGGAACACCGAUGGCGAAGGCAAUCCCCUGGGCCUGCACUGACGCUCAUGCACGAAAGCGUGGGGAGCAAACAGG
Molecule: ribosomal RNA, 253 nt
Filed under: uncultured bacterium
Lineage: Bacteria
Description: partial 16S ribosomal RNA
Rfam family: Bacterial small subunit ribosomal RNA
Source: RNAcentral